This 3210-nucleotide long non-coding RNA is filed under the name Lathyrus oleraceus (garden pea). RNAcentral's name for it is "Pisum sativum (pea) long non-coding RNA (PSAT_LNC001933)". The record is from RNAcentral. Lineage: Eukaryota; Viridiplantae; Streptophyta; Magnoliopsida; Fabales; Fabaceae.
UAAAAUAUGAUCUAACAUUAAAUAAUUUCAAUGAAUUGAUUAUAAUUGAGUUGAUUAAACCGUGAUAUUCUCUAUCAAAUUCAAAAUUUUGGAUAACUUUGCCCCCACCAAAAUUUUCAAUUGUUUUUUGUUUUACUUUUGUUUUCCACGUGUACACAACACUUUUAAAAUUAACACUUUCAGUUUCCACUUCUUCGGACUUCUUCCAUUUUUUAUGCUCUUUAUAUCUAACCGGAAUUUUUCUCCGACGUUACCACCGUACCGGAAUUCUCCUUCCGCCGUCGUCUUCUUCUCCGUCAAAGGUUAGUCUCGUAUUCCUUUAUUUUUGUUCAAUUCAUGCUUCAAAACUGAGAAUCCCUAUUUUUUGUUGAAAACCCUAUAUUUUAAUUCUCCUGUUAAAUCUGAAAAUACACCGUUUUGGAAUAGAUUGUGUUGUUUAAAAUUUUCACCUUACUCAGUUCAUAUUGUAAAUUCAAUUGAGAACGUUUCACUUGAAAAUUAUAAUCUCUACCUUCUUCUCUAAUCCGAGAAAAUAUCACUUUUGCCUUGAAAUGAAUUGAUUUCCACUUGUUCUUCAUUUUUUAUUUAGUCUUAAUUUUAUUUAGCCUUUUCUAUUAUUCCUCCAUAAUCUGAAACUAAGCUCAUUUUUGUUAAAGAAUGUUCAUGUUAAAUUUCUGAUUUGGGUACUUUUGCUAUUGUUUGAUUGUUGCGUUAUUUUUUGGACCGCUGAUCACUCUUCCCUGUGAUUGUCGCGAGCUUCAAUACCCGAGGGCUCGGGAUGUGAUUAUAUUCAGUUAACUUAUUUUUUCAAAUUAUUAUUCAAGUGUCCAUUUGUGUGCAAGUGCUUCAUAGUCUUGAGGAAGCUUCUUCACCCAUUUGGAUUUGGGAUAAGAGUGGAGUCAGUGUUGCAGUUCCAUUUGUUAAGCGAAAAUGGUAAAUUUAAGGUUGGAGAAGUUAUGUAUUAGGUGUAAAAUUGGGAUAAACUGUGAAGGGUCUUUGUUAAUAAUAGGCUCUAAGUAUAGCCUGAAAUCUUAGUUGUCUAAGAAGGUAAGGACUUUUACGUUAUGUGCAUCUGUUUUUGGACUUAGAUUCGAUAGAGAUGAAAUUAGAUUCUAAAAUGGUAUUAAUUAUAUUCAUGUGUUGGAUUUGAAAAAUUAUGAAAUAAAGAUUAUUCCUUUAUAUAUUUUAAAUUGGUUAGCAAAUUGGGUGUUGGAUAACACACAUUAGUAAGUUCUUUUGAUAGAAAUGACAAACGGAUUGCUUAACCUUCACGAUUGGAUACUAUUUGAGUAGUCUUCUGUUGGUUUAUAUUAAAAAUAAGCUGCUAAGUGCUAUCUUAUUCUAGUUAUAAGGAAUACAAAUGUAACCUUGUUAGAUAAAACACGUAAAUAUUAUCGAGCAGUUUUCAAUUUAAAAUGUCAUACGGCAAGAUCUGGUUCAACCUUCUUCAAUACAUGAAUUUAUGUUACUUCCUGUUAAAUCAGAAUAAAUGAACUACGGAUCAUCUGAUAACAGUAGCCUUUUAAUGUGCCUGCUGUUCAGAAUUUAGAGUUUAGAACAACAUAUACUAUCUUAAUAAAACUCUUCAAUCACACCUUAUUGUUGUGUUUCUUGUCCUUAAUAGAUUCUCAUCAUAAAUCCUUUAUUUAUUUCAGCAUGAAGGCACUGGUCUUGGUCAUUGCAUUGUCUGGAAAUUGGUGAGUUAGAUCUUAAACAAGUAAAGUGUGAUAUCAUUCAUAAUAAAUGGUAUUGAUAAAAUGACACUGUUGUUUAUUUUAGAAGAGUAAAAUAGAGUUCCAUGCCAUGGUUUAGAAAUUGACUUUGAGUAAGUCCUUUUCUAUUACUAAGUAGAUGGUGAGUUUGUUCCCAUCAUAGUGUUUAUUGUUGAUUGCCGAAAAACGUGAGAAUAUUUAGGAGUAUGUUGAAACCAAAUUUGAGUUAUGCAAAAUCGACAGAGAUUGUAUAUCGCUAAACAUGAAGUUGAAGUAGACAUUGACGAUUAACUAGAUGACAUGAUUAGUGAUAUUGGUUAAAAGUCUUUUCAACAACAUAUGGAUGAUACUUUGAGCAAAGCAGUGACACGGAAUAGUUCUUUUAUUUGAUGUACAAUAUUUUUCACACAGUUUAUUGUUGAUGGACAAAAGUUUCAGUGAAAUUUUUAACUUGUUUAAAGACAUGCUUUCAAAAUUUAAUACAUUGUCGUAUUGUAAUUAUGAGUAGAAGAAGAUUUUUUGACCGAUGGAUAUCAGGUAUUAGAAAUUGUGUAUGCCCUUAUGAUUAUAUAUUGAGAAAAAAAAUUGAAGAGUGUGAUGAGUCCCUUGGUGUGGGGUAUUACACAUCAAAUUGAAUGAUGUUAAUUCUAAAUGUGGUAUGAGCAUCAUGGGUCCGAUUGAGAUGUAGUGCUAUGGAUAUUUUCACACCCUGAUUGAUUAUUUGCAAUGGAAAAAGAUUAGAUCUUUGUUUUUAGAUUUUGACAAUUUGCCAAAAAAGCCUUAAGUUUGGUCUUUCUACAGAAGGAAUGAAUGUAGCAACCAUAAAUCAUGGACUCAUUCUGCUUAUAAUAUACAACUUAUCUUCUUUGUUGUGCAUGAGAAGAUAUUCUUUCAAUGGUCAAAAACACUUGUGGAGAUUAUUUCAGGUAAAAUAUUAGUUAAUAUAUAUUUUUCGAUUUACAUUAGAAAGAGUAUAAAAAUGGUGACUAACGGCUUAUCGUAAUUGUUUGGGGUUGAUAUUGACAGAUCCAUAAACCAAGAUGUUGCAACCAAAAGGUUCCAGUUUCAACUUGAUUUUGUUCAACAAUUGGUUUUGAAGUCAACACUGCAAAGCUGGAAUUCGAAUAUUGUGGUGGAAUGAUUUUUGUUCGUUGGAUAAAAGUCGAACAAAAAUAUCAUUACCCUAUUAUGACACAAAUUUACAACAUAUAUAUUGUUGUUUCAUGAACAUUUUAUUUUGUCAAAUAGAAGUGGUGGGAAUAGCACACCCUAAAUGUGAAAAAUAGAGAUAAUUGUGGGUUCGAACUUGAGCCUUUUAACACAUUAAAGAGAUACUUGUUAAGAUCAUGCAAACAUUUAUUUAGUUAUAAAAGUUACAAUAUACAAUAUCUAACCAGUAAGUUCACAUUUUGUAUUCAUUUUUAGUCCCAAAAUGUGUUCUUUAUGUACAGAAACUAAAUUUCAACUUCUAAGUAGGUUAAUGUCAAAAAAGAAAAAA